RNAcentral lists this unclassified non-coding RNA (293 nucleotides) under Hevea brasiliensis (rubber tree). Lineage: Eukaryota; Viridiplantae; Streptophyta; Magnoliopsida; Malpighiales; Euphorbiaceae. The record is from RNAcentral.
GUUGCGACAAAAAUACUGCCUUUGCUUUGUGAAAAUUUGUGAUAAAAUAUCACGUUUGGUAUUUGCUGUAUUGGCAUUAGAUGUUGUUGCAUUUUAACGUGCCAGACUUUCUACCUUUGUAUUUUUCCUUUUGCAAAUAUAAUCAUGUUCCCACUCCACUCAAUUUUCAGUGGAGAUAUUUAUAUUUUUGUUCAAAUUUUUGCACUGAGCAAUACUGUAUUUAGGCAAAUUACUAUGUGUACUAUAUGCAAGACAAAUUGAGUUUUAAGUCCUGUUGUCAGCUGUGAUUCUUG